This 492-nucleotide ribosomal RNA is filed under the name uncultured bacterium. Its description in RNAcentral is "partial 16S ribosomal RNA". It matches the Rfam family "Bacterial small subunit ribosomal RNA", at positions 29 to 507 of the family's 1533-position model. The record is from RNAcentral.
AGUGAACGCUGGCGGUAGGCCUAACACAUGCAAGUCGAACGGCAGCACAGUAAGAGCCUGCUCUUACGGGUGGCGAGUGGCGGACGGGUGAGGAAUACAUCGGAAUCUACUUUUUCGUGGGGGAUAACGUAGGGAAACUUACGCUAAUACCGCAUACGACCUACGGGUGAAAGCAGGGGAUCUUCGGACCUUGCGCGAUUGAAUGAGCCGAUGUCGGAUUAGCUAGUUGGCGGGGUAAAGGCCCACCAAGGCGACGAUCCGUAGCUGGUCUGAGAGGAUGAUCAGCCACACUGGAACUGAGACACGGUCCAGACUCCUACGGGAGGCAGCAGUGGGGAAUAUUGGACAAUGGGCGCAAGCCUGAUCCAGCCAUACCGCGUGGGUGAAGAAGGCCUUCGGGUUGUAAAGCCCUUUUGUUGGGAAAGAAAAGCAGCAGGUUAAUACCCCGCUGUUCUGACGGUACCCAAAGAAUAAGCACCGGCUAACCUCGUG